Molecule: ribosomal RNA, 746 nt
Filed under: uncultured Parvimonas sp.
Lineage: Bacteria; Bacillati; Bacillota; Tissierellia; Tissierellales; Peptoniphilaceae
Description: bacterial SSU rRNA
Rfam family: Bacterial small subunit ribosomal RNA
Source: RNAcentral
GACGAACGCUGGCGGCGUGCUUAACACAUGCAAGUCGAACGUGAUUUUUGUGGAAAUUCUUUCGGGAAUGGAAAUGAAAUGAAAGUGGCGAACGGGUGAGUAACACGUGAGCAACCUACCUUACACAGGGGGAUAGCCGUUGGAAACGACGAUUAAUACCGCAUGAGACCACAGAAUCGCAUGAUAUAGGGGUCAAAGAUUUAUCGGUGUAAGAAGGGCUCGCGUCUGAUUAGCUAGUUGGAAGGGUAAAGGCCUACCAAGGCGACGAUCAGUAGCCGGUCUGAGAGGAUGAACGGCCACAUUGGAACUGAGACACGGUCCAAACUCCUACGGGAGGCAGCAGUGGGGAAUAUUGCACAAUGGGGGGAACCCUGAUGCAGCGACGCCGCGUGAGCGAAGAAGGUUUUCGAAUCGUAAAGCUCUGUCCUAUGAGAAGAUAAUGACGGUAUCAUAGGAGGAAGCCCCGGCUAAAUACGUGCCAGCAGCCGCGGUAAUACGUAUGGGGCGAGCGUUGUCCGGAAUUAUUGGGCGUAAAGGGUACGUAGGCGGCCUUUUAAGUCAGGUGUGAAAGCGUGAGGCUUAACCUCAUUAAGCACUUGAAACUGGAAGGCUUGAGUGAAGGAGAGGAAAGUGGAGUUCCUAGUGUAGCGGUGAAAUGCGUAGAUAUUAGGAGGAAUACCGGUGGCGAAGGCGACUUUCUGGACUUUUACUGACGCUCAGGUACGAAAGCGUGGGGAGCAAACAGG